CAGCAGCCGCGGUAAUACGAAGGGGGCUAGCGUUGCUCGGAAUCACUGGGCGUAAAGGGUGCGUAGGCGGGUCUUUAAGUCAGGGGUGAAAUCCUGGAGCUCAACUCCAGAACUGCCUUUGAUACUGAAGAUCUUGAGUUCGGGAGAGGUGAGUGGAACUGCGAGUGUAGAGGUGAAAUUCGCAGAUAUUCGCAAGAACACCAGUGGCGAAGGCGGCUCACUGGCCCGAUACUGACGCUGAGGCACGAAAGCUAGGGGAGCAAAUGGGAUUAGAUACCCCGGUAGUCCCUGUCUCUUAUAC
RNAcentral lists this ribosomal RNA (301 nucleotides) under uncultured bacterium. Its description in RNAcentral is "partial 16S ribosomal RNA". It matches the Rfam family "Bacterial small subunit ribosomal RNA", at positions 509 to 807 of the family's 1533-position model. The record is from RNAcentral.